GAUGAAGAACGUAGCGAAAUGCGAUACUUGGUGUGAAUUGCAGAAUCCCGUGAACCAUCGAGUCUUUGAACGCAAGUUGCGCCCGAAGCCAUUAGGCCGAGGGCACGCCUGCCUGGGUGUCACACGUCGUUGCCCCCCCAUCUACUCCUUCGGGAUUGCGGGGGGCGGAUGAUGGCCUCCCGUGCGCCUCGUCGCGCGGUUGGCGUAAAUGCCAAGUCCUCGGCGACGCACGCCACGACAAUCGGUGGUUGCGAAACCUCGGUUGCCCGUCGUGUGCGGUCGUCGCGCAUCGAGGGCUCGAAAAAAUUGCCGGGCUCCGGCUCGGCUUUCAACGCGACCCCAGGUCAGGCGGGGUUACCCGCUGAAUUUAAGCAUAUCAAUAAGCGGAGGA
Molecule: unclassified non-coding RNA, 391 nt
Filed under: soil metagenome
Description: partial contains 5.8S ribosomal RNA, internal transcribed spacer 2, and large subunit ribosomal RNA
Rfam family: 5.8S ribosomal RNA (bases 1-122)
Source: RNAcentral